UAACGCGUGAGGAACCUGCCUUUCAGAGGGGGACAACAGUUGGAAACGACUGCUAAUACCGCAUGAAACAUUCGGAUCGCAUGGUUUGAAUGUCAAAGAUUUAUCGCUGAAAGAUGGCCUCGCGUCUGAUUAGCUAGUUGGUGAGGUAAAGGCUCACCAAGGCGACGAUCAGUAGCCGGACUGAGAGGUUGACCGGCCACAUUGGGACUGAGAUACGGCCCAGACUCCUACGGGAGGCAGCAG
Molecule: ribosomal RNA, 243 nt
Filed under: uncultured bacterium
Lineage: Bacteria
Description: partial 16S ribosomal RNA
Rfam family: Bacterial small subunit ribosomal RNA
Source: RNAcentral